This is a long non-coding RNA of Lycium barbarum (goji berry), 1150 nucleotides long. RefSeq lists it as uncharacterized. The record is from RefSeq and is a predicted model, not a curated record. NCBI's taxonomy places the organism in Eukaryota, Viridiplantae, Streptophyta, Magnoliopsida, Solanales, Solanaceae. The transcript is spliced from 3 exons.
UUGUAUAAGCCGUCUACCAGCAUAUCUUAAGAUGGUAUAUCAGUAUCAACAUGUUAUUCAAAGGCUAUAAGAGUUGGAAGAUACACAACUAGGUUGAGGUUGAUGAGUGCAUUUAAGCAUAAGAAAUGAGAUUUUGGACAAAUAAAAAUGAGCUGCUUGCUUACCCGAUGUGCAUGCUUGCUUCACCAACUUAUUUCCCGUACUACUUGCUUGAGCUACUUCAUAUGUAUCUUAACUAUGAAGUAAGGAUGAGGUAUAUGUUAAAUUCAACGGACUAACAAAGCGAAAACUAGUUAAUUAAACAAGUAGGUGACAAGUAGGUGCAUCACCUACUUGCUUAAAAAGGAAAGGCCAAGAUUUAUUCUCUAAAAAGGGGCUAGAUGAGUGAGUCAUAUGGAGCAUUUUAAAGGCUGAUUUUCCUUCAUUUAUUCCAUUCAUUUUUCAGAGACAAAAACCAAAGAAUAGACCCCUAUAAACUCUUCUCAAAAAUUCCAGACAAACCCUAAGUGAUUUCAAGGGAUUCAAGUGAUUCCAGUGCCAAAAGCCGGACUACUUGCUAGUUUCUCUUUCUCCUUCUUGUAGCUGCAUUGGGGGACUGAUUUGAGAUGAAAAAGGACUAAGUUUCGUAGCUUAUAAUCAGUCCAAGGUUGAAGCACCAUGGGAAGUAUAUAUUGAGUCAUUGACAACAAAGGUAUCUGUUGAGGAAGUUGCAGAAUCUAGUGGUGCGGCACACUUUUAGGGAAGGUAACAAGGUGGCUCACUUUUUGGCUAAGCAAGGAACUCAGCUGUCUUCAUGCAAUCAACUAUCUACUAUGUCUACUCCUCCUCCGCUUAUAUUAAAAAUAAUGGAUGCGGAGAAGGAUGUCUUAUCUACGAAGCUAGUAGUUAUUUCAGUAUGUAAUACUCUAUCCUUAGUAUUAUCAGUUAUGAUUCCAGUGGAAGUACGAGUACCGCUUCGGUGGCUACACAUGCUACUGCUUGGAAUAAUCUACCGCCUUAAUAUAUAAUAUAAAUAUCUUUUCUACCAAAAAAAUAUGCAAAAUAGUUUACAAAAGAACCAAAGGCUCGACAAGUUCUACAAUAGCCUUUAAUAAAUUCCGUUUUUUUCCUAUCGCGAGCAGUGGUGAUAGAUGACAAAGGAAAAAGGAGG